RNAcentral lists this ribosomal RNA (1233 nucleotides) under metagenome. Its description in RNAcentral is "bacterial SSU rRNA". It matches the Rfam family "Bacterial small subunit ribosomal RNA", at positions 8 to 1231 of the family's 1533-position model. The record is from RNAcentral.
AGAGUUUGAUCAUGGCUCAGAUUGAACGCUGGCGGCAGGCCUAACACAUGCAAGUCGAACGGUAACAGGAAGAAGCUUGCUUCUUUGCUGACGAGUGGCGGACGGGUGAGUAAUGUCUGGGAAACUGCCUGAUGGAGGGGGAUAACUACUGGAAACGGUAGCUAAUACCGCAUAACGUCGCAAGACCAAAGAGGGGGACCUUCGGGCCUCUUGCCAUCGGAUGUGCCCAGAUGGGAUUAGCUAGUAGGUGGGGUAACGGCUCACCUAGGCGACGAUCCCUAGCUGGUCUGAGAGGAUGACCAGCCACACUGGAACUGAGACACGGUCCAGACUCCUACGGGAGGCAGCAGUGGGGAAUAUUGCACAAUGGGCGCAAGCCUGAUGCAGCCAUGCCGCGUGUAUGAAGAAGGCCUUCGGGUUGUAAAGUACUUUCAGCGGGGAGGAAGGGAGUAAAGUUAAUACCUUUGCUCAUUGACGUUACCCGCAGAAGAAGCACCGGCUAACUCCGUGCCAGCAGCCGCGGUAAUACGGAGGGUGCAAGCGUUAAUCGGAAUUACUGGGCGUAAAGCGCACGCAGGCGGUUUGUUAAGUCAGAUGUGAAAUCCCCGGGCUCAACCUGGGAACUGCAUCUGAUACUGGCAAGCUUGAGUCUCGUAGAGGGGGGUAGAAUUCCAGGUGUAGCGGUGAAAUGCGUAGAGAUCUGGAGGAAUACCGGUGGCGAAGGCGGCCCCCUGGACGAAGACUGACGCUCGGGUGCGAAAGCGUGGGGAGCAAACAGGAUUAGAUACCCUGGUAGUCCACGCCGUAAACGAUGUCGACUUGGAGGUUGUGCCCUUGAGGCGUGGCUUCCGGAGCUAACGCGUUAAGUCGACCGCCUGGGGAGUACGGCCGCAAGGUUAAAACUCAAAUGAAUUGACGGGGGCCCGCACAAGCGGUGGAGCAUGUGGUUUAAUUCGAUGCAACGCGAAGAACCUUACCUGGUCUUGACAUCCACAGAACUUUCCAGAGAUGGAUUGGUGCCUUCGGGAACUGUGAGACAGGUGCUGCAUGGCUGUCGUCAGCUCGUGUUGUGAAAUGUUGGGUUAAGUCCCGCAACGAGCGCAACCCUUAUCUUUUGUUGCCAGCGGUCCGGCCGGGAACUCAAAGGAGACUGCCAGUGAUAAACUGGAGGAAGGUGGGGAUGACGUCAAGUCAUCCUGGCCCUUACGACCAGGGCUACACACGUGCUACAAU